Long non-coding RNA from Prionailurus viverrinus (fishing cat), 420 nucleotides. RefSeq lists it as uncharacterized. The transcript is spliced from 3 exons. Lineage: Eukaryota; Metazoa; Chordata; Mammalia; Carnivora; Felidae. The record is from RefSeq and is a predicted model, not a curated record.
AACACAGGGAACAUGAGCACUUUUCCAUUCUUCAGAAGCUGGUCUGAGAUAUAAUCCAGGUAUCAGCUGGGAGGCUUCCUGACAGGGAUCCCCAGAGGCAGCCAUGAAGUUCCCCAUAUGGAUUCCCCAUUGAGUCCUGAGGAUUCACGACAUGGGUUUGGCAAGAAAAGUGAAAUCUGCUCCAUCAAGACUGAUGAUUCAACUAGACAUUAAUGGGGAAGAAGGAGGGGGAAAUGACGGACACCAAAGAAAGAAUGCAACACCCUGCCUCAUCACAUCAUCGUGUCCUCCACCCGCUAAAUUUCCAUUCUCUCUCCAACAUCUGCUUGAUGAGCGGCACAAACAUGCAGUCAGUGGCCUAGUCAGAAAUCCUGAAAACCAUCCAGACCUGCUCCAUCUCACUCAUCUGGCUCCUCAACC